This 253-nucleotide ribosomal RNA is filed under the name uncultured bacterium. RNAcentral describes it as "partial 16S ribosomal RNA". It matches the Rfam family "Bacterial small subunit ribosomal RNA", at positions 524 to 776 of the family's 1533-position model. The record is from RNAcentral.
UACGGAGGAUGCAAGCGUUAUCCGGAAUGAUUGGGCGUAAAGCGUCCGCAGGUGGCACUACAAGUCUGCUGUCAAAGACUGGGGCUCAACCUCAGAAAGGCGGUGGAAACUGUAGAGCUAGAGUACGGUAGGGGCUGAGGGAAUUCCCAGUGUAGCGGUGAAAUGCGUAGAGAUUGGGAAGAACACCAGUGGCGAAGGCGCUCUGCUAGGCCGGGUCUGACACUCAGGGACGAGAGCUAGGGGAGCGAAUGGG